RNAcentral lists this ribosomal RNA (451 nucleotides) under uncultured bacterium. Its description in RNAcentral is "bacterial SSU rRNA". It matches the Rfam family "Bacterial small subunit ribosomal RNA", at positions 354 to 796 of the family's 1533-position model. The record is from RNAcentral.
GUGGGGAAUAUUGGACAAUGUGGGGAACCCUGAUCCAGCCAUGCCGCGUGUGUGAAGAAGGCCUUUUGGUUGUAAAGCACUUUAAGCGAGGAGGAGGCUACCGAGAUUAAUACUCUUGGAUAGUGGACGUUACUCGCAGAAUAAGCACCGGCUAACUCUGUGCCAGCAGCCGCGGUAAUACAGAGGGUGCAAGCGUUAAUCGGAUUUACUGGGCGUAAAGCGCGCGUAGGUGGCCAAUUAAGUCAAAUGUGAAAUCCCCGAGCUUAACUUGGGAAUUGCAUUCGAUACUGGUUGGCUAGAGUAUGGGAGAGGAUGGUAGAAUUCCAGGUGUAGCGGUGAAAGGCGUAGAGAUCUGGAGGAAUACCGAUGGCGAAGGCAGCCAUCUGGCCUAAUACUGACACUGAGGUGCGAAAGCAUGGGGAGCAAACAGGAUUAGAAACCCGGGUAGUCC